Homo sapiens (human) is the source of this 1394-nucleotide long non-coding RNA. Ensembl annotates it as glucosylceramidase beta 1 like, pseudogene. Its record names the gene GBA1LP. Lineage: Eukaryota; Metazoa; Chordata; Mammalia; Primates; Hominidae. The record is from Ensembl.
ACAUUGGGAAGCCAGAAUUACUUGCAGGAGUAACCUAGUGCCUAUAGCUAUGGCAGUGACCCUGAGGUGAUGGAGUUUUCAAGUCCUUCCAGAGAGGAAUGUCCCAAGCCUUCGGGUAGGGUGCCUUCAGCCGCUACAAGAGCAGAAGCAGUGGGCAUUGGAUGGAGCUGAGUACAGGACCAUACAGGCUAAUUGCACCGGCACAGGAAUCGGAUAUAACAUCAUCUGGGUACCCAUGGCCAGCUGUGACUUCUCCAUCCGCACCUACACCUAUGCAGACACCCCUGAUGAUUUCCAGUUGCACAACUUCAGCCUCCCAGAGGAAGAUACCAAGCUCAAGAUACCCCUGAUUCACCGAGCCCUGCAGUUGGCCCAGCGUCCCGUUUCACUCCUUGCCAGCCCCUGGACAUCACCCACUCGGCUCAAGACCAGGGGAGCGGGGAAUGGGAAGGGGCCACUCAAGGGACAGCCCAGAGACAUCUACCACCAGACCUGGGCCAGAUACAUUGUGAAGUUCCUGGAUGCCUAUGCUGAGCACAAGUUACAGUUCUGGGCAGUGACAGCUGAAAAUGAGCCUUCUGCUGGGCUGUUGAGUGGAUACCCCUUCCAGUGCCUGGGCUUCACCCCUGAACAUCAGCGAGACUUCAUUGCCCGUGACCUAGGUCCUACCCUUGCCAACGGUACUCACCACAAUGUCCGCCUACUCAUGCUGGAUGACCAACGCUUGCUGCUGCCCCACUGGGCAAAGGUGGUACUGACAGACCCAGAAGCAGCUAAGUAUGUUCAUGGUAUUGCUGUACAUUGGUACCUGGACUUUCUGGCUCCAGCCAAAGCCACCCUAAGGGAGACACACCACCUGUUCCCCAACACCAUGCUCUUUGCCUCAGAGGCCUGUGUGGGUUCCAAGUUCUGGGAGCAGAGUGUGCGGCUAGGCUCCUGGGAUCGAGGGAUGCAGUACAGCCACAGCAUCAUCACAAACCUCCUGUACCAUGUGGUCGGCUGGACCGACUGGAACCCAUCAUUGUAGACAUCACCAAGCACACGUUUUACAAACAGCCCAUGUUCUACCACCUUGGCCACUUCAGCAAGUUCAUUCCUGAGGGCUCCCAGAGAGUGGGGCUGGUUGCCAGUCAGAAGAACGACCCGGACGCAGUGGCACUGAUGCAUCCCGAUGGCUCUGCUGUUGUGGUCGUGCUAAACCGCUCCUCUAAGGAUGUGCCUCUUACCAUCAAGGAUCCUGCUGUGGGCUUCCUGGAGACAAUCUCACCUGGCUACUCCAUUCACACCUACCUGUGGCGUCGCCAGUGAUGGAGCAGAUACUCAAGGAGGCACUGGGCUCAGCCUGGGCAUUAAAGGGACAGAGUCAGCUCACACGCUGUCUGUGACUAAAGAGG